CCUACGGGUGGCAGCAGUGAGGAAUAUUGGUCAAUGGACGUAAGCCUGAACCAGCCAAGUCGCGUGAAGGAUGAAGGAUCUAUGGUUCGUAAACUUCUUUUAUAGGGGAAUAAAGUUCUCCACGCGUGGAUCUUCGCAUGUACCUUAUGAAUAAGGAUCGGCUAACUCCGUGCCAGCAGCCGCGGUAAUACGGAGGAUCCGAGCGUUAUCCGGAUUUAUUGGGUUUAAAGGGUGCGUAGGUGGUGUUUUAAGUCAGCGGUGAAAGUUUGUGGCUCAACCAUAAAAUUGCCGUUGAAACUGGGGGGCUUGAGUGUGUUUGAGGUAGGCGGAAUGCGUGGUGUAGCGGUGAAAUGCAUAGAUAUCACGCAGAACUCCGAUUGCGAAGGCAGCUUGCUAAGCCAUAACUGACGCUGAAGCACGAAAGCGUGGGGAUCAAACAGGAUUAGAUACCCGAGUAGUC
This 460-nucleotide ribosomal RNA is filed under the name uncultured bacterium. Its description in RNAcentral is "partial 16S ribosomal RNA". It matches the Rfam family "Bacterial small subunit ribosomal RNA", at positions 338 to 795 of the family's 1533-position model. The record is from RNAcentral.